GAUGAACGCUGGCGGCGUGCCUAAUACAUGCAAGUCGAGCGAACGGACGAGAAGCUUGCUUCUCUGAUGUUAGCGGCGGACGGGUGAGUAACACGUGGAUAACCUACCUAUAUGACUGGGAUAACUUCGGGAAACCGGAGCUAAUACCGGCUAAUAUUUUGUACCGCAUGGUUCAAAAGUAAAAGACGGUCUUGCUGUCACUUAUAGAUGGAUCCGCGCUGCAUUAGCUAGUUGGUAAGGUAACGGCUUACCAAGGCUACGAUGCAUAGCUGACCUGAGAGGGUGAUCAGCCACACUGGAACUGAGACACGGUCCAGACUCCUACGGGAGGCAGCAGUAGGGAAUCUUCCGCAAUGGGCGAAAGCCUGACGGAGCAACACCGCGUGGGUGAUGAAGGUCUUCGGGUCGUAAAGCUCUGUUAUUAGGGAAGAACAUAUGUGUAAGUAACUGUGCACAUCUUGACGGUACCUAAUCAGAAAGCCACGGCUAACUACGUG
RNAcentral lists this ribosomal RNA (497 nucleotides) under uncultured bacterium. RNAcentral describes it as "partial 16S ribosomal RNA". It matches the Rfam family "Bacterial small subunit ribosomal RNA", at positions 28 to 507 of the family's 1533-position model. The record is from RNAcentral.